UACAGAGGUCCCAAGCGUUGUUCGGAUUCAUUGGGCGUAAAGGGUGCGUAGGCGGCGCGGUAAGUCGGGUGUGAAAUCUCGGAGCUUAACUCCAGAACUGCAUUCGAUACUGCCGUGCUUGAGGACUGGAGAGGAGACUGGAAUUUACGGUGUAGCGGUGAAAUGCGUAGAUAUCGUAAGGAAGACCAGUGGCGAAGGCGGCGAUCUGGGUCGAUACUGACGCUGAGGUGCGAAAGCGUGGGGAGCAAACAGG
This 253-nucleotide ribosomal RNA is filed under the name uncultured bacterium. RNAcentral's name for it is "partial 16S ribosomal RNA". It matches the Rfam family "Bacterial small subunit ribosomal RNA", at positions 524 to 776 of the family's 1533-position model. The record is from RNAcentral.